CCUACGGGGGGCAGCAGUGAGGAAUAUUGGUCAAUGGGGGAAACCCUGAUGCAGCGACGCCGCGUGUGGGAAGACGGUCCUCUGGAUUGUAAACCACUGUCCCCAGGGACGAAGAUGACGGUACCUGGGGAGGAAGCUCCGGCUAACUACGUGCCAGCAGCCGCGGUACUACGUAGGGAGCGAGCGUUGUCCGGAAUUACUGGGUGUAAGGGGAGCGUAGGCGGGACUGGAAGUUGGGGGUCAAAUCUACCGGCUCAACCGGUAGCCGCACUCAAAACUGCAGUUCUUGAGUGAAGUAGAGGCAGGCGGAAUUCCUAGUGUAGCGGUGAAAUGCGUAGAUAUUAGGAGGAACACCAGUGGCGAAGGCGGCCUGCUGGGCUUUUACUGACGCUGAGGCUCGAAAGUGAGGGGAGCAAACAGGAUUAGAUACCCUUGUAGUC
Molecule: ribosomal RNA, 440 nt
Filed under: uncultured bacterium
Lineage: Bacteria
Description: partial 16S ribosomal RNA
Rfam family: Bacterial small subunit ribosomal RNA
Source: RNAcentral